This is a non-coding RNA of Corchorus olitorius, 1002 nucleotides long. Lineage: Eukaryota; Viridiplantae; Streptophyta; Magnoliopsida; Malvales; Malvaceae. The record is from Rfam.
GGCAUGCGGGACAUUAGCUAGUUGGCGGGGUAACGGCCCACCAAGGCGACGAUGUCUAGGGGAUCUGAGAGGAUGACCCCCACACUGGUACUGAGACACGGACCAGACUCCUACGGGAGGCAGCAGUAAGGAAUAUUGGUCAAUGGGCGCAAGCCUGAACCAGCCAUGCCGCGUGCAGGAAGACGGCCCUACGGGUUGUAAACUGCUUUUGUACCGGAAUAAACCUUCUCUCGUGAGAGAAGCUGAAUGUACGGUAAGAAUAAGGAUCGGCUAACUCCGUGCCAGCAGCCGCGGUAAUACGGAGGAUCCAAGCGUUAUCCGGAUUUAUUGGGUUUAAAGGGUGCGUAGGUGGCCUAUUAAGUCAGGGGUGAAAGACGGUAGCUUAACUAUCGCAGUGCCUUUGAUACUGAUGGGCUUGAAUACAGUUGAAGUAGGCGGAAUGUGACAAGUAGCGGUGAAAUGCAUAGAUAUGUCACAGAACACCGAUUGCGAAGGCAGCUUACUAAAGUGUGAUUGACACUGAGGCACGAAAGCGUGGGGAUCAAACAGGAUUAGAUACCCUGGUAGUCCACGCCCUAAACGAUGAAUACUCGAUGUUGGCGAUAUACGGUCAGCGUCUAAGCGAAAGCGUUAAGUAUUCCACCUGGGGAGUACGCCCGCAAGGGUGAAACUCAAAGGAAUUGACGGGGGCCCGCACAAGCGGAGGAGCAUGUGGUUUAAUUCGAUGAUACGCGAGGAACCUUACCCGGGCUUGAAAGUUAGUGAAUGAUCCAGAGACGAAUCAGUCCUUCGGGACACGAAACUAGGUGCUGCAUGGCUGUCGUCAGCUCGUGCCGUGAGGUGUUGGGUUAAGUCCCGCAACGAGCGCAACCCCGUAUGUUUAGUUGCCAGCAUUUAAGGUGGGGACUCUAAACAGACUGCCUACGCAAGUAGAGAGGAAGGAGGGGACGACGUCAAGUCAUCAUGGCCCUUACGUCCGGGGCUACACACGUGCUACAAUGG